AGUGCUGUGGCACAGCCGGUUAAAGCCGUGGCCUGCAGUGCCAGCAUCCUGGGUUCAAGUCCUAGCUGCUCCA
This 73-nucleotide transfer RNA is filed under the name Oryctolagus cuniculus (rabbit). It matches the Rfam family "tRNA". Rfam says of the family: Transfer RNA (tRNA) molecules are approximately 80 nucleotides in length. Their secondary structure includes four short double-helical elements and three loops (D, anti-codon, and T loops). Further hydrogen bonds mediate the characteristic L-shaped molecular structure. tRNAs have two regions of fundamental functional importance: the anti-codon, which is responsible for specific mRNA codon recognition, and the 3' end, to which the tRNAs corresponding amino acid is attached (by aminoacyl-tRNA synthetases). tRNAs cope with the degeneracy of the genetic code in two manners: having more than one tRNA (with a specific anti-codon) for a particular amino acid; and 'wobble' base-pairing, i.e. permitting non-standard base-pairing at the 3rd anti-codon position. The record is from Rfam by way of RNAcentral. Lineage: Eukaryota; Metazoa; Chordata; Mammalia; Lagomorpha; Leporidae.